AGCGAACGCUGGCGGCAGGCUUAACACAUGCAAGUCGAGCGGGCCCUUCGGGGUCAGCGGCAGACGGGUGAGUAACACGUGGGAACGUACCCUUUGGUUCGGAAUAACGCUGGGAAACUAGCGCUAAUACCGGAUACGCCCUUUUGGGGAAAGGCUUGCUGCCGAAGGAUCGGCCCGCGUCUGAUUAGCUAGUUGGUGGGGUAAUGGCCUACCAAGGCGACGAUCAGUAGCUGGUCUGAGAGGAUGAUCAGCCACACUGGGACUGAGACACGGCCCAGACUCCUACGGGAGGCAGCAGUGGGGAAUAUUGGACAAUGGGCGCAAGCCUGAGCCAGCCAUGCCGCGUGAGUGAUGAAGGCCUUAGGGUUGUAAAGCUCUUUUGUCCGGGACGAUAAUGACGGUACCGGAAGAAUAAGCCCCGGCUAACUUCGUG
RNAcentral lists this ribosomal RNA (433 nucleotides) under uncultured bacterium. RNAcentral's name for it is "partial 16S ribosomal RNA". It matches the Rfam family "Bacterial small subunit ribosomal RNA", at positions 29 to 507 of the family's 1533-position model. The record is from RNAcentral.